This 296-nucleotide unclassified non-coding RNA is filed under the name uncultured fungus. RNAcentral's name for it is "partial contains 18S rRNA, ITS1, 5.8S rRNA, ITS2 and 28S rRNA". Lineage: Eukaryota; Fungi. The record is from RNAcentral.
AAGGAUCAUUAUCGAAUAAACUUGAACAGGCUGUUGCUGAUGUCUCCCAUCCAGGGGGACAUAUGUGCACGCUUGUCAUCUUUAUCAAUUUCUCCAACUGUGCACAAAUUGUAGACCUUGGGCUAGCUCUAUGAAUUUAUUUUCGAGUUGGGACUGCUGUGCUUUGUCUCAAAAAAGUCAGCUUUGCCUUUGCAUUUCCAGGUCUAUGUCAUUUUCACAACCUCUUGAUGUGUUUAGAAUGUGUUGGAUUAUAAAAGUUAAAUAUACAACUUUCAGCAACGGAUCUCUUGGCUCUC